This 82-nucleotide transfer RNA is filed under the name Claviceps humidiphila. RNAcentral's name for it is "tRNA-Glu". It matches the Rfam family "tRNA". Rfam says of the family: Transfer RNA (tRNA) molecules are approximately 80 nucleotides in length. Their secondary structure includes four short double-helical elements and three loops (D, anti-codon, and T loops). Further hydrogen bonds mediate the characteristic L-shaped molecular structure. tRNAs have two regions of fundamental functional importance: the anti-codon, which is responsible for specific mRNA codon recognition, and the 3' end, to which the tRNAs corresponding amino acid is attached (by aminoacyl-tRNA synthetases). tRNAs cope with the degeneracy of the genetic code in two manners: having more than one tRNA (with a specific anti-codon) for a particular amino acid; and 'wobble' base-pairing, i.e. permitting non-standard base-pairing at the 3rd anti-codon position. The record is from RNAcentral. RNAcentral also lists the same sequence under 1 other name. Lineage: Eukaryota; Fungi; Ascomycota; Sordariomycetes; Hypocreales; Clavicipitaceae.
UCCGGUGUGGUGUAAUGGCUAUCAUACUGCGCUUUCAUUAGAAAGUGCCGCAGGGACCGGGGUUCGAUUCCCCGCAUCGGAG